Molecule: transfer RNA, 85 nt
Filed under: Felis catus (domestic cat)
Lineage: Eukaryota; Metazoa; Chordata; Mammalia; Carnivora; Felidae
Also listed under: 1 other name
Rfam family: tRNA
About the family: Transfer RNA (tRNA) molecules are approximately 80 nucleotides in length.
Source: Rfam by way of RNAcentral
GCCUGGGGGGCUCAGUCGGUUAAGCAUCUGACUUCGGCUCAGGUCAUGAUCUCACAGUUUGUGGGUUCGAGUCCCGCAUCGGGCU